UGUGUGUUAGUGGAAGCGUCUGGAAAGGCGCGCGAUACAGGGUGACAGCCCCGUACACAAAAAUGCACAUACUGUGAGCUCGAUGAGUAGGGCGGGACACGUGGUAUCCUGUCUGAAUAUGGGGGGACCAUCCUCCAAGGCUAAAUACUCCUGACUGACCGAUAGUGAACCAGUACCGUGAGGGAAAGGCGAAAAGAACCCCGGCGAGGGGAGUGAAAAAGAACCUGAAACCGUGUACGUACAAGCAGUGGGAGCCUCUUUAUGGGGUGACUGCGUACCUUUUGUAUAAUGGGUCAGCGACUUAUAUUCUGUAGCAAGGUUAACCGAAUAGGGGAGCCGAAGGGAAACCGAGUCUUAACUGGGCGUUAAGUUGCAGGGUAUAGACCCGAAACCCGGUGAUCUAGCCAUGGGCAGGUUGAAGGUUGGGUAACACUAACUGGAGGACCGAACCGACUAAUGUUGAAAAAUUAGCGGAUGACUUGUGGCUGGGGGUGAAAGGCCAAUCAAACCGGGAGAUAGCUGGUUCUCCCCGAAAGCUAUUUAGGUAGCGCCUCGUGAAUUCAUCUCCGGGGGUAGAGCACUGUUUCGGCAAGGGGGUCAUCCCGACUUACCAACCCGAUGCAAACUGCGAAUACCGGAGAAUGUUAUCACGGGAGACACACGGCGGGUGCUAACGUCCGUCGUGAAGAGGGAAACAACCCAGACCGCCAGCUAAGGUCCCAAAGUCAUGGUUAAGUGGGAAACGAUGUGGGAAGGCCCAGACAGCCAGGAUGUUGGCUUAGAAGCAGCCAUCAUUUAAAGAAAGCGUAAUAGCUCACUGGUCGAGUCGGCCUGCGCGGAAGAUGUAACGGGGCUAAACCAUG
Molecule: ribosomal RNA, 863 nt
Filed under: Escherichia coli
Lineage: Bacteria; Pseudomonadati; Pseudomonadota; Gammaproteobacteria; Enterobacterales; Enterobacteriaceae
Description: partial 23S ribosomal RNA
Rfam family: Bacterial large subunit ribosomal RNA
Source: RNAcentral